UACGUAGGGAGCAAGCGUUGUUCGGAUUUACUGGGCGCAAAGGGCGCGUAGGCGGCGCGGUAAGUCACUUGUGAAAUCUCUGAGCUUAACUCAGAACGGCCAAGUGAUACUGCAGUGCUAGAGUGCAGAAGGGGCAAUCGGAAUUCUUGGUGUAGCGGUGAAAUGCGUAGAUAUCAAGAGGAACACCUGAGGUGAAGACGGGUUGCUGGGCUGACACUGACGCUGAGGCGCGAAAGCCAGGGGAGCAAACGGG
RNAcentral lists this ribosomal RNA (253 nucleotides) under uncultured bacterium. RNAcentral describes it as "partial 16S ribosomal RNA". It matches the Rfam family "Bacterial small subunit ribosomal RNA", at positions 524 to 776 of the family's 1533-position model. The record is from RNAcentral.